Molecule: unclassified non-coding RNA, 153 nt
Filed under: uncultured fungus
Lineage: Eukaryota; Fungi
Description: sequence contains ITS1
Source: RNAcentral
UUAUUUCUCAUGUUUUGAUUCAGACACAAAAGGCAGAUUAAAGCAUAAAGGCGGCGCCGGAGCGCCGAAGCACAUCUCGCUUCCACAGGUUUGCAAGGUUGAAGGCCGAGAGGCCAUUCAGUAAUGAUCCCUCCGCAGGUUCACCUACGGAGA